RNAcentral lists this unclassified non-coding RNA (253 nucleotides) under uncultured Pseudomonadaceae bacterium. RNAcentral describes it as "contains 16S-23S intergenic spacer region". It matches the Rfam family "Bacterial small subunit ribosomal RNA", at positions 524 to 776 of the family's 1533-position model. The record is from RNAcentral. Lineage: Bacteria; Pseudomonadati; Pseudomonadota; Gammaproteobacteria; Pseudomonadales; Pseudomonadaceae.
UACGGAGGGUGCGAGCGUUAAUCGGAAUUACUGGGCGUAAAGCGCGCGUAGGUGGUGGGUUAAGUUGGAUGUGAAAGCCCCGGGCUCAACCUGGGAACUGCAUCCAAAACUGGCCGACUAGAGUACAGUAGAGGGUGGUGGAAUUUCCUGUGUAGCGGUGAAAUGCGUAGAUAUAGGAAGGAACACCAGUGGCGAAGGCGACCACCUGGACUGAUACUGACACUGAGGUGCGAAAGCGUGGGGAGCAAACAGG